AGCGGCGGACGGGUUAGUAACGCGUGGGAAUGUACCCUUCUCUAUGGAAUAGCCUCGGGAAACUGAGAGUAAUACCAUAUACGCCCUUCGGGGGAAAGAUUUAUCGGAGAAGGAUCAGCCCGCGUAAGAUUAGAUAGUUGGUGGGGUAAUGGCCUACCAAGUCUACGAUCUUUAGCUGGUUUUAGAGGAUGAUCAGCAACACUGGGACUGAGACACGGCCCAGACUCCUACGGGAGGCAGCAGUGGGGAAUCUUAGACAAUGGGCGCAAGCCUGAUCUAGCCAUGCCGCGUGUGUGAUGAAGGCCUUAGGGUCGUAAAGCACUUUCGCCAGGGAUGAUAAUGACAGUACCUGGUAAAGAAACCCCGGCUAACUCCGUGCCAGCAGCCGCGGUAAUACGGAGGGGGUUAGCGUUGUUCGGAAUUACUGGGCGUAAAGCGCACGUAGGCGGAUCAGAAAGUUGGGGGUGAAAUCCCAGGGCUCAACCCUGGAACUGCCUCCAAAACUCCUGGUCUUGAGUUCGAGAGAGGUGAGUGGAAUUCCGAGUGUAGAGGUGAAAUUCGUAGAUAUUCGGAGGAACACCAGUGGCGACGCGGCUCACUGGCUCGAUACUGACGCUGAGUGCGAAAGUGUGGGGAGCAACAGGAUUAGAUACCUGUAGUUCACACGGU
This 669-nucleotide ribosomal RNA is filed under the name uncultured bacterium. RNAcentral describes it as "bacterial SSU rRNA". It matches the Rfam family "Bacterial small subunit ribosomal RNA", at positions 94 to 803 of the family's 1533-position model. The record is from RNAcentral.